Molecule: ribosomal RNA, 462 nt
Filed under: uncultured bacterium
Lineage: Bacteria
Description: SSU rRNA
Rfam family: Bacterial small subunit ribosomal RNA
Source: RNAcentral
AGAAUCAACGCUGGCGGCGUGCCUAACACAUGCAAGUCGCACGAGAAAGGGGAGCAAUCCCUGAGUAAAGUGGCGCACGGGUGAGUAACACGUGAAUUAUCUACCUCCGAGUGGGGAAUAACCUAGAGAAAUCUGGGCUAAUACCGCAUAACACUUACGAGUCAAAGCAGCAAUGCGCUUGGAGAGGAGUUCGCGGCCGAUUAGCUAGUUGGCGGGGUAAUGGCCCACCAAGGCGAUGAUCGGUAUCCGGCCUGAGAGGGCGCACGGACACACUGGAACUGAAACACGGUCCAGACUCCUACGGGAGGCAGCAGUGGGGAAUUUUGCGCAAUGGGGGAACCCUGACGCAGCAACGCCGCGUGGAGGAUGAAUAUCUUGGUAUGUAAACUCCUUUCGAUGGGGAAGAUUAUGACGGUACCCAUAGAGAACGCCCGGCUAACUUCGCGCCAGCAGCCGCGGUAA